Molecule: ribosomal RNA, 24 nt
Filed under: Dicranum tauricum
Lineage: Eukaryota; Viridiplantae; Streptophyta; Bryopsida; Dicranales; Dicranaceae
Description: partial 26S ribosomal RNA
Source: RNAcentral
AGGUGUACGUCACGCAUCAGACCU